This 73-nucleotide transfer RNA is filed under the name Hepatospora eriocheir. It matches the Rfam family "tRNA". From Rfam's summary of the family: Transfer RNA (tRNA) molecules are approximately 80 nucleotides in length. The record is from Rfam by way of RNAcentral. Lineage: Eukaryota; Fungi; Microsporidia; Hepatosporidae.
GUCGCGGUAGUGUAGUGGUUAUCACGUGCGCUUCACAUGCGUGAGGUCUCCAGUUCGAAUCUGGAUCGUGACA